Molecule: long non-coding RNA, 5236 nt
Organism: Lytechinus pictus (painted urchin)
Lineage: Eukaryota; Metazoa; Echinodermata; Echinoidea; Temnopleuroida; Toxopneustidae
Exons: 3
Source: RefSeq, a predicted model, not a curated record
ACACAAGCCUCCAUGUGGUGUGUGUGUGUGGAUUUGUGUAUCCACCAGCCAGCCCCAGCCACAGAAUCAGAGGGGGUGAUAAAAAGAAAUAGGGAAAAAACCCUGAAGUGCAAGUGCGUGCAUGCAGGCAGGCACUGCCCGUUCCAUUCUAUACAGGCUUCUACCAAUGUGUCUACACUAUUGACGGAACCAAAGCUGGCAUGUGUUUGUGUGCGUGAAAUAGACAGGGGCGAAUAGAAAAAUAUAUCGAGCGCCUGAUUGCAUACCUUCAUGUGGUGGCUGUGUAUGCACGGAUCAGUCAUCUAUCCAUUUAUUCGUUUGAAUGAGAUCAAAGCUAAGCAAGCAAGCAGCUAUCUUCAAAAAUGCACAUGCACACUCUUGCGUCUUCUGCUACCAUGCCGUCCUUUUACUGGAUCUGCGCCCCUCCUUGCCUUUUUGAACGGAAUAACCACAAUCCCGGACCCUAUGACUGGAUUUAUAAUCGGAAUUAACCAGAUAUAGCCAGCCUAGUACCUUGUCUGCCUCGCUAUUACCUAGAAAUCAUUGCCAGGAACCUAAACAACCCACUCGCAGGGACCUAAGGGGAAGGGAGUAAACAAGAAACACCACUUGACUGGGGAAAGAACCCUUGCUGAUAUUUAUAAUGACAUGCUUUAUUAUAGUGAUGAUCACAGGCAAUAUAUAAUAAACAGUCAUCCCGUGUCAAGAGAGGCAAGGUGAAAAGAAGUGCCCUAGACUUGCCCACCUGUGAAAUCUGCACAAGAAAGCAACAAUAGGAGUUUGAAUUCCUCCAGUGAACCUGCCGAAGAAACUUCUAUCCGGGGCUCUCAAAGGUUAGUUUGAUAUAUAUUCUUAAUUAUUUUAAUCAAUAUCUUUCUUUCUUUUCCUAUUGUUGUCUAUUCCUACUUAACCCAGAUUAGUACUGAUUUUGUGGAUCGUCUGUGAAUAUGCAGUAGGUUUAGAGACCAUGGUUGCCCUUGGAUAAAAAAAAAAUGGCACAUGUGCUUGUGAAAACCGGUGAAUUUCCAAUCAGUCUAAUUCCAAUUUGUCUAAUUACGAACUGGUCUAUUAUCAUUUGGUCUACCAUCAGUUCAUCCACUAUCCAUAUGGCCUAAUUGUCAUUUCGUCCACUCACUAUUUUGUAUAUCAGUUGGUCCAGUAGCCAUUUAGUCCAUAUCCCAUUUGGUCUAAUUUGAAUUAUUGUAAAUUGGGCGAAAUGGAUGAAAAGGAAAUAAGAAUUGGACCAACUGAAUAUGAGACCAAAUGUUAAUAGACGAACUGGUGAUUAGACAAAGUGACUAUUUGACCAAAUGGUUGUUAGACGAAAUGUUGAUGGAUGGAAUGGCAUUAGACUAGAUGAAGGUAGACCAUGCUGUUAUUGUUUUAAUCUGAUUCUUUUAUUGAAAUUCGAAAGGAAGUUCAUUUCCAGAAAUUGUUUUAUUUGUUUCUCUCUGCAUGUGUGUGUGUUCACAUUUUUAUUUUUAAUAUUUUUUUUGAUGAAGGGGUGGAUGUGUGCAUGUUGUUAGUCCUAAUGAAAUUGGAUGGUGGAUACAUAAAAGCUGGGUCUGAUUAACAUGGACAAUAUAAUACAAAUACAGUCAUUGAGAUCAUUGUCUUCAUAAAAAAUCUUCUUACUAAUCAUAUCCUUUGAUUUUUUCAUAUUUUCACACAAGCUAUAAAUUGGUUCCAGACAUGAUAUGAGAUAGGCUUUCAUUUGAUAUGCAUAACCAAUUUGUCUGAACAAUUAAACCUAUGUAAUUGACUCCACACUACCAGAACAAGGCUCCCUUGUUCAAUAGUAUACAGGUGUAUUUAAAUCUGCUCAGGCUCAUUGAUCCUAGUGGCCGUACAAUGCAGAUCUAUAGGCCUGUCCACUUUUCCGACCCCUUUACUUUUAGUGUAAUCAAUGUACGGCUGGUCAAUAGUCUGUACAUAUCUGAUUACAUGUCUUUCACUAAACCCCUAUUGACAGAAAGGUCGAAAGGGUUCUGUUAUAAGCCAAAUGAGCCGUGAAUAGAUUUUCACCUCAAAUUCCUGCCAAAAUGCGUCACCCAGUCUUAGAAAAUCACCUGUAUUGUACACAGGUAUGGUGUGAAUAAAGGCAAAGAACUGGAGGGGGCUUCUGUUAUGUAAUCUGUGUACCUUUGGAGUGGUAUAUUAGGGGGUAUGGAUAUAUUGUUGGGAGGAAUACCUGUUCUAAAGGACCAAUAGUCACUACUUACCCCCUCCCCAUUUAAACGAUUGGCUUGAAAUUACAGUCCAAUGCAGUGCAUUGGUUAUCAUUUACAAAGGUCUAAUGUUUAAACAAAAUACUGAACUCUGAUGUCUGUUGUAUUCAAUGUUGUUAAUAUUUAGAUUUUUUUACUUCUUGAAGCACUAAAUGAUAUUUUGGUGCAUUUUUUCAGGGAUUCAUUUUCAUUCAUAUCACAGACACAGGUGAUAUACAUUACAGCUUAGAUUUAAAAAAAAUCAUUGUUAACGUUUAAACAGGUUUUUACCCAUGCAGGUCCACAUGUAAAUCCAAUAAAUUUUGUGGAGUAUAAAUUUGUUCUAUAUGGACUGAGGAAUAGAGAAGAAUAGGAAGGGGAAAAAAAAUCAGGUUCAUGGUCAUAUAAAGUUCAAUGUGCCACGGCAGUUGGUCAUUCAGACCAAUUAUUUAGGUCAGGGGAAAUGUAGAUAGAGAUAGAAAGAGAGAGAGAAAGAAGGGUUCGUUGGUGGGCAGUGAAAGUCCAGUGAAGGCGAGGGAGUAGGGUUGAAGGGGGGGGGGGUGGUGAUUUUUUACCUGAUUGCUAAUAGAAAGCAUGAAUGGGAAUGCUUGUAAGCAAGCAACCAGAGGACCGAUGGCUUAAAGUCCUCUCUGAAGGACUUGGUACUGAGGAUUAAUGCCUUACCAAAGGGCACUAGCGCACCAAGUGGGAAUCGAACCCAGGUCACCGGAAUACGAAUCCCCCGCUCUACCGACUGAGCUAUGGCGCCUCCAAAGAUGGGGGGGGGGGGGGGAAAUGGGGGUAGAAUAGUAAAAAGUGUUUAAAUGGAAUAUUGUCUUCCGUAAAUUUGUAGCCAUUUUCAUCCUAGCUGUAUUUUGCCAACACUGUCGGCUUGAAUAGGUAUUUGCAGACAGAGUUUACCCCCUCAUUGGACAAGCAUUAUUGUCAGGGCAAACAUAGACUGAUGACUAGGAAAUCUUAAUUAGAAUCCCAAUGUCAACAGUGAGUAAUGGCAGUUCUCAUGUACAGGACCUCACUACUGGAAUAGUAUGCGAUUUUACCAUGUACCUGCUGCUAACCAUCCCUGUGUACAUUAAUGAUUCCCUUCCCGGGCUCAAAUCGAGAUGUUUUUACGCGUUUGGUUCAAACUAUGGUUGCAUCCUUAUAUAUUUUCAUUUAAACGCCAAUUGUCAAUUCCCCAAAAGGAGUAUUUACAAUCAGCAUUCCCCCAAUUGCUUUGGAAGCAUAAUCGAAAUGCAACAUCAAUUUGAAAUUCGCCUAUGAUGUCAUAAACGCUGUCAUUAUUAACGCCAUCCUGCCUCUAGUAUAACAUUAUUGUACCAGGCCUACAUUACCUUAGAAAUAAAAAGGUACAUCCCAACUUAACUUAUUCGGGGCAAUGUAGCAUAAAAGUGGUAAAACGCCCUUACAUGUAUAUACAAGAACAAUAGAUUUGGUCCACUGAUCUGGAAACCGUCAUUGCUACAACAAGUUCACAGUCAGUCAUAGUCUGUCUCAGAAAAAAAAAAUUACAUUUGUUGCUUACAAUCUGAAGAUAUGAAGUGUCUGAAUAAAGAAAGUACUAAUUAACUUUGUAUUUUUGUACUGUACAUGUAGGGUCAUUUUAAUAAUUAAAAAUGCAUUCUCAGUCCUCAACUCAUUGAAUGAAGUGCCGGCUAAAAAAAAUCGAGAGUGCAUUGUUACUUAGGCUUACAGACCAUAGUUUUCAAUUUCAUUUUCUUUUAAGGGAUCUUAUGUGAUACAUGAUGCCAUGGAUAACUCCUGACCUACAUCAUUAGGGCAUGUGAGCUAUAUUUACUAUACAUAAAUUCUUUUGGACAUGUUGUUGUAUUGAUCACUGUGCCCGAUGCGAGAUGUGUCGCAUCGGACAUGUUACACCAGACGGAGCUCAAAGGGUAUCUGGCAAUGUUGAUAAAUUUGUUCCUGCGAUAACUCCAAAGAUAACGUUUAUGUGGAAGGAAGAAGGCAAUUAUUGGAUGCACCAAAGCAUAAUACAGAAGAGAUAAAACUUGUUAUGCUCCUGAUUGUGUAAGGGUUGUAUCGAAUAACCCAGGGCAAGGCUAUCGACAUCAUUUCGAGGACAGAUCUCUGAUUUUUUAACGCCUGCUUUGCGCGGUUUGAAUGAACAAAAUUAUCCACUUUACUAGCUUUCUGAUUUCUUAGUGCUUGAAAUGUAAGAUGAAUUUGAUAGACUCUGGUAUUGUGUUACAUGAAGACCUUUUGGGAUUGCCUCUGUAACUGCCAGUGUGAUGAUAAUGAUAUAGCAAAGAGUACAAUCCCUAUUCAGAAGAUACUGAUGGACAUUUAUGGUUGUGAAGUUAGCAACAUUUGUUGUUAUAUUUCACAUUAGGUUUCAUGUGAUUUUGAGGAAAUUGAAAUGACAAGAAAACAUAUUGUAUUUAUGUUUGCUGUUAUUUGAUUUUUUUAAUCUGCGAAAGCAUAAAGCUGCUGCUGUGUGUGAAUAUGUAAGUAGGGAGGUACCGGGACAAAAAAUGUAAUUAAUGCAAAAACAAUAUGUAUAUAUGUGUCUGGUUUAAAGAUGAAAUGAAACUAGGUCAUUUUUAAUAUGAGAGUGGCAAUAGGAAGUAUGUUAUCUUUCAAUGGGAGGUACAUGUACAAUAUUGAGCUGCUCACUUGUGUUGUGAAAAGGUAAUCAGGUGGAGUGCCUCUCAUAAUAUUGUUCUAUUGUACACUUAGCUGGACAUUGGUUACAAUGGAACCCUCUUUCAGACUAUGGAAAAUACUUUGUAUAAAAAUCAUGCAGCUUGUAUAUAUACACUUUGUAUAAAAAUCAUGCAGCUUGUAUAUAUACAGUAUAUAUAUCUGUGUGAAUUUUGUGUAGUUAUUUUCAGGGCUAAAAUCAAUCCAAUGCCUUCAAAGGCCAUGGCCUCAAUUGUCGUGUUGACUGGCUUCAAUGCCGCUCACAUUGGUUAUGAGAUUUUUUGUUGUUGUGCCCUUUUAAUAUUCCCAUUUGUACUGUAGUUAUGGCCUAUUGAAUAUGACCCUCG